GAUUUAGGUCUUCUGUAGGUGACCUGCGGAGGAUCAUUA
This 39-nucleotide ribosomal RNA is filed under the name uncultured ectomycorrhiza (Lactarius pseudomucidus). Its description in RNAcentral is "partial 18S ribosomal RNA". Lineage: Eukaryota; Fungi; Basidiomycota; Agaricomycetes; Russulales; Russulaceae. The record is from RNAcentral.